UGAGUACGAGAUGCUACGGCAUCGAAGCAGUCUAUGUCAUACUUCCAAGAAAAGCUUGCACUGUCAGAAACAGAUAAUGCCUGUACCAUAACCGACACAGGUGGGUAGGUAGAGUAUACUAAGGGGCGCGAGAUAACUCUCUCUAAGGAACUCGGCAAAAUGACUCCGUAACUUCGGGAGAAGGAGUGCCUUAUUUUUAAGGUUGCAAUAACAAGAUCCAAGCAACUGUUUACCAAAAACACAGGUCUCCGCUAAGUCGUAAGACGAUGUAUGGGGGCUGACGCCUGCCCAGUGCCAGAAGGUUAAAGAAGUCGGUUAGCAUUCGCGAAGCUGGUAACUGAAGCCCUGGUGAACGGCGGCCGUAACGAUAACGGUCCUAAGGUAGCGAAAUUCCUUGUCGGGUAAGUUCCGACCCGCACGAAAGGCGUAAUGAUUUGGAUACUGUCUCGGAGAGGGGCUCGGUGAAAUAGACUUGUCUGUGAAGAUGCGGACUACCUGCACCUGGACAGAAAGACCCUAUGAAGCUUUACUGUAACUUGAAAUUGAAAUUGGACUUUAUUUGCGCAGUAUAGGUGGGAGGCGUUGAAAAUAUUCUUGCGGGAAUAUUGGAGCCAUCAGUGAGAUACCACUCUUGUAAUGUUAGAUUUCUAACUUUAUAUCAUUAUCUGGUUAAAGAACAGUUUCAGGCGGGCAGUUUGACUGGGGCGGUCGCCUCCCAAAUGGUAACGGAGGCGCACAAAGGUUUCCUCUGAACGGGUAGAAAUCGUAUCUAGAGUGUAAAGGCAUAAGGAAGCUUGACUGUGAGACCUACAAGUCGAGCAGGGACGAAAGUCGGUCUUAGUGAUCUGACGGUGCUGAGUGGAAAGGCCGUCACUCAACGGAUAAAAGUUACUCUAAGGAUAACAGGCUGAUCUCCCCCAAGAGUUCACAUCGACGGGGAGGUUUGGCACCUCGAUGUCGGCUCAUCGCAUCCUGGGGCGGUAGUACGUCCCAAGGGUUGGGCUGUUCGCCCAUGAAAGCGGUACGCGAGCUGGGUUCAGAACGUCGUGAGACAGUUCGGUCCAUAUCCGGUGUAGGCGUUAGAAUAUUGAGAGGAGCCUUCUUUAGUACGAGAGGACCGAGAAGGACAUACCUCUGGUGUACCAGUUAUCGUGCCAACGGUAAACGCUGGGUAGCUAUGUAUGGAGUGGAUAACCGCUGAAAGCAUCUAAGUGGGAAGCCCACCUCAAGAUAAGUAUCCUCA
Molecule: ribosomal RNA, 1243 nt
Filed under: metagenome
Description: bacterial LSU rRNA
Rfam family: Bacterial large subunit ribosomal RNA
Source: RNAcentral